RNAcentral lists this ribosomal RNA (253 nucleotides) under uncultured bacterium. RNAcentral's name for it is "partial 16S ribosomal RNA". It matches the Rfam family "Bacterial small subunit ribosomal RNA", at positions 524 to 776 of the family's 1533-position model. The record is from RNAcentral.
UACAGAGGUCUCAAGCGUUGUUCGGAUUCAUUGGGCGUAAAGGGUGCGUAGGUGGCGCGGUAAGUCGGGUGUGAAAUCUCGGAGCUUAACUCCGAAAUUGCAUUCGAUACUGCCGUGCUUGAGGACUGGAGAGGAGACUGGAAUUUACGGUGUAGCAGUGAAAUGCGUAGAGAUCGUAAGGAAGACCAGUGGCGAAGGCGGGUCUCUGGAACAUUUCUGACGCUGAGGCUCGAAAGCGUGGGGAGCAAACAGG